RNAcentral lists this ribosomal RNA (253 nucleotides) under uncultured microorganism. RNAcentral describes it as "partial 16S ribosomal RNA". It matches the Rfam family "Bacterial small subunit ribosomal RNA", at positions 524 to 776 of the family's 1533-position model. The record is from RNAcentral.
UACGUAGGGUGCGAGCGUUAAUCGGAUUUACUGGGCGUAAAGCGUGCGCAGGCGGCCCGUUAAGACAGGUGUGAAAUCCCUGGGCUCAACCUAGGAAUUGCGCUUGUGACUGGCGGGCUCGAGUACGGUAGAGGGGGGUGGAAUUCCUGGUGUAGCAGUGAAAUGCGUAGAGAUCAGGAGGAACACCGAUGGCGAAGGCAGACCCCUGGGCCUGUACUGACGCUCAUGCACGAAAGCGUGGGGAGCAAACAGG